Molecule: ribosomal RNA, 26 nt
Filed under: Harrisia fragrans
Lineage: Eukaryota; Viridiplantae; Streptophyta; Magnoliopsida; Caryophyllales; Cactaceae
Source: RNAcentral
UGGGAAGUCCUCGUGUUGCACUCCUU